RNAcentral lists this unclassified non-coding RNA (264 nucleotides) under uncultured fungus. RNAcentral describes it as "partial contains 5.8S ribosomal RNA, internal transcribed spacer 2, and large subunit ribosomal RNA". Lineage: Eukaryota; Fungi. RNAcentral also lists the same sequence under 1 other name. The record is from RNAcentral.
AACGCACAUUGCGCCCGCUGGUACUCCGGCGGGCACGCCUGUCCGAGCGUCAUUUCAACCCUCAAGCCCUCCUUCGGGAUGGGCCUGGUGUUGGGGCUCGGCCGCCAUCUCCGGCGGCCGUCCCCUAAAUACAGUGGCGGUCACGUCGCGACUCCUUUGCGUAGUAGAAACACCUCGCUCCGGAUAGCAACGCGGUCCACGCCGUAAAACCCCCAAUUUUCAAUGGUUGACCUCGGAUCAGGUGGGAAUACCCGCUGAACUUAA